GUGAUACAAUUUUCUUGAAGUAGAGACAUAGAGAAGAGUUUCUGUGAUAUGUUGUUCAAGGGCUUAUUCCAUGUCACGGGUCACUGGAAGUGAUACAAUUUUCUUGAAGUAGAGACAUAGAGAAGAGUUUCUGUGGAGCUAAAGAUAGAGAUACACACUAAAGACAGAGUUGGGUUAUUAUAUGAUGCUAUACGGUCAAUAGCGUCAUAUAACGGUGUCAAUACUUACAAGGCAGAGACCGGACGGUGGCCGGAGGACGGACGGUGGUGGUCGGAGUAAAGCUAGAUGAGUAGAGCAGGGUGAGGAACUUGAAUGGGGGUUUUAAGCAUCAUGGUGCUGCUCCACAGAUUCAAAUGA
This 357-nucleotide long non-coding RNA is filed under the name Helianthus annuus (common sunflower). Its description in RNAcentral is "hypothetical non coding rna". The record is from RNAcentral. Lineage: Eukaryota; Viridiplantae; Streptophyta; Magnoliopsida; Asterales; Asteraceae.